GGAGGAGUCGCAUAGUUGGUCUAGUGCGCCCGUCUUGAAAACGGGUACGCCGCAAGGUGUCGAGAGUUCGAAUCUCUCCUCCUCCG
Molecule: non-coding RNA, 86 nt
Organism: Candidatus Nomurabacteria bacterium GWB1_40_6
Lineage: Bacteria; Candidatus Nomuraibacteriota
Source: Rfam